AGGACGAACGCUGGCGGCGCGCUUAAUACAUGCAAGUCGAGCGAGAACCAGGGCUUCGGCCCUGGGGACAGCGGCGAACGGGUGAGUAACACGUGGGUAAUCAACCCCCGACACCGGGAUAGCCCAGGGAAACUUGGAUUAAUACCGGAUGCUCCAUCUGGCUUUCGAGCCGGCUGGAAAAGGGUAGCUUCGGCCUCCGGUCGGGGACGAGCCCGCGGCGGAUUAGCUUGUUGGUGAGGUAAAGGCUCACCAAGGCGACGAUCCGUAGCUGGUCUGAGAGGACGAUCAGCCACACUGGGACUGAGACACGGCCCAGACUCCUACGGGAGGCAGCAGUAGGGAAUCUUGCGCAAUGGGCGAAAGCCUGACGCAGCGACGCCGCGUGAGGGAAGAAGGCCUUCGGGUUGUAAACCUCUUUCAGGAGGGACGAAGCCACUCGGGUUAAUAGCCCAGAGGGUGACGGUACCUCCAGAAGAAGCCCCGGCUAACACGUGCCAGCAGCCGCGGU
This 508-nucleotide ribosomal RNA is filed under the name uncultured bacterium. RNAcentral describes it as "SSU rRNA". It matches the Rfam family "Bacterial small subunit ribosomal RNA", at positions 26 to 521 of the family's 1533-position model. The record is from RNAcentral.